AAGUCGUAACAAGGUUUCCGUAGGUGAACCUGCGGAAGGAUCAUUAACACGAAACUCCACGUUUCAUACCAAUCCGUGCUCCUGUAACUCUCAAGUGAUAGUAACCUCUUUGUCUUUUCGGAGAUGAAGUAACCUCUAUUGCUUUUUUAAUAUACAAACCCCUUGUAUCAUUAAAUGACUGAACCUUAGAAGUUUUGAGUACCCCUUUACCGGGGCGCUCGCUUCUGAUAUACGUAACUCUGAACAACUCUUAGCAACGGAUAUCUUGGUUCUC
Molecule: unclassified non-coding RNA, 274 nt
Filed under: fungal sp.
Lineage: Eukaryota; Fungi
Description: partial internal transcribed spacer region
Rfam family: Eukaryotic small subunit ribosomal RNA (bases 1-46)
Source: RNAcentral